Molecule: transfer RNA, 67 nt
Filed under: Phryganea bipunctata
Lineage: Eukaryota; Metazoa; Arthropoda; Insecta; Trichoptera; Phryganeidae
Description: tRNA-Ser
Source: RNAcentral
AAUUAAUAAGCUUAUUAAAGCAUUUGUUUUGAAAACUUAAGAAAGAAGAAUAAUCUUCUAUUAAUUU